GACAGAGGUGCCGAGCGUUAGGCGGAAUCACUGGGCUUAAAGCGUGUGUAGGCGGGCGAUCAAGUACCUUGUGAAAUCCCACGGCUCAACCGUGGAACCGCUGGGUAUACUGGUUGUCUUGAGCCGGCUAGGGGCGAGCGGAACAGACGGUGGAGCGGUGAAAUGCGUAGAUAUCGUCUGGAACGCCGAAGGUGAAAACAGCUCGCUGGGGCCGCGCUGACGCUGAGACACGAAGCCAGGGGAGCGAACGGG
This 252-nucleotide ribosomal RNA is filed under the name uncultured bacterium. Its description in RNAcentral is "partial 16S ribosomal RNA". It matches the Rfam family "Bacterial small subunit ribosomal RNA", at positions 524 to 776 of the family's 1533-position model. The record is from RNAcentral.